This 411-nucleotide ribosomal RNA is filed under the name Variovorax paradoxus. RNAcentral's name for it is "bacterial SSU rRNA". It matches the Rfam family "Bacterial small subunit ribosomal RNA", at positions 386 to 789 of the family's 1533-position model. The record is from RNAcentral. Lineage: Bacteria; Pseudomonadati; Pseudomonadota; Betaproteobacteria; Burkholderiales; Comamonadaceae.
AUCCAGCCAUGCCGCGUGCAGGAUGAAGGCCUUCGGGUUGUAAACUGCUUUUGUACGGAACGAAACGGCCUUUUCUAAUAAAGGGGGCUAAUGACGGUACCGUAAGAAUAAGCACCGGCUAACUACGUGCCAGCAGCCGCGGUAAUACGUAGGGUGCAAGCGUUAAUCGGAAUUACUGGGCGUAAAGCGUGCGCAGGCGGUUAUGUAAGACAGUUGUGAAAUCCCCGGGCUCAACCUGGGAACUGCAUCUGUGACUGCAUAGCUAGAGUACGGUAGAGGGGGAUGGAAUUCCGCGUGUAGCAGUGAAAUGCGUAGAUAUGCGGAGGAACACCGAUGGCGAAGGCAAUCCCCUGGACCUGUACUGACGCUCAUGCACGAAAGCGUGGGGAGCAAACAGGAUUAGAUACCCUG